AUACGUAGGUGACAAGCGUUAUCCGGAUUUACUGGGCGUAAAGGGCGUGUAGGCGGUCUUGCAAGUCAGAAGUGAAAUUCCUGAGCUCAACUCGGGCGCUGCUUCUGAAACUGCAGGACUUGAGUGCUGGAGGGGAUAGCGGAAUUCCUAGUGGAGCGGUAAAAUGCGCAGAUAUUAGGAAGAACACCGGUGGCGAAGGCGGCUAUCUGGACAGUAACGGACGCUGAGGCGCGAAAGCGUGGGGAGCAAACAGGAUUAGAUACCCUGGUAGUCCACGCCGUAAGCGAUGAAUACUAGGUGUAGGGGGUAUCGACUCCCUCUGUGCCGCAGUUAACACAAUAAGUAUUCCGCCUGGGGAGUACGGCCGCAAGGUUGAAACUCAAAUGAAUUGACGGGG
Molecule: ribosomal RNA, 397 nt
Filed under: uncultured bacterium
Lineage: Bacteria
Description: partial 16S ribosomal RNA
Rfam family: Bacterial small subunit ribosomal RNA
Source: RNAcentral